This 495-nucleotide ribosomal RNA is filed under the name uncultured bacterium. Its description in RNAcentral is "partial 16S ribosomal RNA". It matches the Rfam family "Bacterial small subunit ribosomal RNA", at positions 28 to 507 of the family's 1533-position model. The record is from RNAcentral.
GACGAACGCUGGCGGCGUGCCUAAUACAUGCAAGUAGAACGCUGAAGGAGGAGCUUGCUUCUCUGGAUGAGUUGCGAACGGGUGAGUAACGCGUAGGUAACCUGCCUGGUAGCGGGGGAUAACUAUUGGAAACGAUAGCUAAUACCGCAUAAUAGUAGAUGUUGCAUGACAUUUGCUUGAAAGUUGCAUUUGCAUCGAUACCACGUGGUCUUGCGUUGUAUUAGCUAGUUGGUGGGGUAACGGCGUACCAAGGCGACGAUACAUAGCCGACCUGGGCGGGUGAUCGGCCACACUGGGACUGGGACACGGCCCAGGCUACUACGGGAGGGAGCAGUAGGGAAUGUUCGGCAAUGGACGGAAGUCUGACAGAGCAACGCCGCGUGAGAGGAGAAGGCUCUCGGUUCGGAAAGCUCUGUUGUAAGAGAAGAACGAGUGUGAGAGUGGAAAGUUCACACUGUGACGGUAUCUUACCAGAAAGGGACGGCUAACUACGUG